GCGCCGAUGGUCUAGCGGUUAUGACUUGGGCCUUCCAAGCAUCCCGAAGAAAGCCUACAACCCGGGUUCGAAUCCCGGUCGGCGCA
Molecule: transfer RNA, 86 nt
Filed under: Methanothrix sp.
Lineage: Archaea; Methanobacteriati; Methanobacteriota; Methanomicrobia; Methanotrichales; Methanotrichaceae
Also listed under: 1 other name
Description: tRNA-Trp
Rfam family: tRNA
About the family: Transfer RNA (tRNA) molecules are approximately 80 nucleotides in length. Their secondary structure includes four short double-helical elements and three loops (D, anti-codon, and T loops).
Source: RNAcentral